Molecule: ribosomal RNA, 632 nt
Filed under: uncultured Atribacterota bacterium
Lineage: Bacteria; Pseudomonadati; Atribacterota
Description: bacterial SSU rRNA
Rfam family: Bacterial small subunit ribosomal RNA
Source: RNAcentral
UGCAAGUCGAACGAGAAGCUAACUUCUGAUUCCUUCGGGAUGAUGAGGUUGGCAGAAAGUGGCGAACGGGUGAGUAACGCGUGGGUAAUCUACCCUGUUAAGUGGGGGAUAACCCUCCGAAAGGAGGGCUAAUACCGCAUAAUAUCUUCUCCUCUGAAAGAGGUAAAGAUUAAAGAUGGCCUCCAUAUUAUGCUAUCGCUUCAGGAUGAGCCCGCGUCCUAUUAGUUAGUUGGUGGGGUAAUGGCCUACCAAGGCGACAAUGGGUAGCCGGUCUGAGAGGAUGUACGGCCACACUGGGACUGAGAUACGGCCCAGACUCCUACGGGAGGCAGCAGUGGGGAAUAUUGCGCAAUGGGGGAAACCCUGACGCAGCGACGCCGCGUGGAUGAUGAAGGCCCUUGGGUUGUAAAAUCCUGUUCUGGGGGAAGAAAGCUUAAAGGUCCAAUAAACCCUUAAGCCUGACGGUACCCCAAGAGAAAGCUCCGGCUAAUUAUGUGCCAGCAGCCGCGGUAAUACAUAAGGAGCAAGCGUUAUCCGGAAUUAUUGGGCGUAAAGAGCUCGUAGGCGGUCUUAAAAGUCAGUUGUGAAAUUAUCAGGCUCAACCUGAUAAGGUCACCUGAAACUUAAGACUA